This 254-nucleotide ribosomal RNA is filed under the name uncultured bacterium. RNAcentral describes it as "partial 16S ribosomal RNA". It matches the Rfam family "Bacterial small subunit ribosomal RNA", at positions 524 to 776 of the family's 1533-position model. The record is from RNAcentral.
UACGGGGGGGGGCAAGCGUUGUUCGGAAUUACUGGGCGUAAAGGGCUCGUAGGCGGCCAACUAAGUCAGACGUGAAAUCCCUCGGCUUAACCGGGGAACUGCGUCUGAUACUGGAUGGCUCGAGUUUGGGAGAGGGAUGCGGAAUUCCAGGUGUAGCGGUGAAAUGCGUAGAUAUCUGGAGGAACACCGGUGGCGAAGGCGGGUCUCUGGGCCGAUACUGACGCUGAGGAGCGAAAGCGUGGGGAGCGAACAGG